UGCGCAGGCGGACUUUUAAGUCAGUGGUGAAAUCCCGGGGCUCAACCCCGGAACUGCCAUUGAUACUGGAAGUCUUGAAUUUGGUUGAAGUGGGCGGAAUGUAGCAUGUAGCGGUGAAAUGCUUAGAUAUGCUACAGAACACCGAUCGCGAAGGCAGCUCACUAAGCCAAUAUUGACGCUCAGGCACGAAAGCGUGGGGAGCGAACAGGAUUAGAUACCCUGGUAGUC
Molecule: ribosomal RNA, 228 nt
Filed under: uncultured bacterium
Lineage: Bacteria
Description: partial 16S ribosomal RNA
Rfam family: Bacterial small subunit ribosomal RNA
Source: RNAcentral